ACCGGCGCACGGGUGCGUAACGCGUAUGCAACCUACCUUUAACAGGAGGAUAGCCCCGAGAAAUCGGGAUAACACUCCAUAACACUGCGAAGUGGCAUCACUAUGCAGUUAAAACUCCGGUGGUUAAAGAUGGGCAUGCGUGACAUUAGAUAGUUGGUGAGGUAACGGCUCACCAAGUCUACGAUGUCUAGGGGUUCUGAGAGGAUGAUCCCCCACACUGGUACUGAGACACGGACCAGACUCCUACGGGAGGCAGCAGUAAGGAAUAUUGGUCAAUGGACGCAAGUCUGAACCAGCCAUGCCGCGUGCAGGAAGACAGCCUUAUGGGUUUGUAAACUGCUUUCUAUACAGGAAUAAACCCCCUUUUCGUGAAAGGGGCUGAAAGGUACUUGUACGAAAUAAGGACCGGCUAACUCCCGUGCCCAGCAGCCCGCGGUAAUACGGAGGGUCCCAAGCGUUAUCCCGGAUUUUAUUUGGGUUUUAAAGGGGUGCGCAGGGCGGACCCUAUCAGUCAGUGGGUGAAAAUCUCUCGGGCUUUAACCGGGGAAACUUGCCAUNGAUACUGUAGGUCUUUGAGUUUGGUUUGAAAGUGGGGCGGGAAUGUAGCCUGUAGCGGGUGAAAUGCAUAGAUAUGCUACAGAACACUCGAUCGCGAAGGCAGCUCACUAAACUCAAAACUGACGCUCAGCACGAAAGCGUGGGUAGCGAACAGGAUUAGAUACCC
This 724-nucleotide ribosomal RNA is filed under the name uncultured bacterium. RNAcentral's name for it is "bacterial SSU rRNA". It matches the Rfam family "Bacterial small subunit ribosomal RNA", at positions 94 to 787 of the family's 1533-position model. The record is from RNAcentral.